RNAcentral lists this ribosomal RNA (843 nucleotides) under Actinobacillus suis. RNAcentral's name for it is "bacterial SSU rRNA". It matches the Rfam family "Bacterial small subunit ribosomal RNA", at positions 1 to 831 of the family's 1533-position model. The record is from RNAcentral. Lineage: Bacteria; Pseudomonadati; Pseudomonadota; Gammaproteobacteria; Pasteurellales; Pasteurellaceae.
UUGAAUUGAAGAGUUUGAUCAUGGCUCAGAUUGAACGCUGGCGGCAGGCUUAACACAUGCAAGUCGAACGGUAGCACGAAGGAGCUUGCUCCUUGGGUGACGAGUGGCGGACGGGUGAGUAAUGCUUGGGAAUCUGGCUCAUGGAGGGGGAUAACUACGGGAAACUGUAGCUAAUACCGCGUAAUAUCUUCGGAUUAAAGUGUGGGACCGCAAGGCCACAUGCCAUGAGAUGAGCCCAAGUGGGAUUAGGUAGUUGGUGGGGUAAAGGCCUACCAAGCCGACGAUCUCUAGCUGGUCUGAGAGGAUGACCAGCCACACUGGAACUGAGACACGGUCCAGACUCCUACGGGAGGCAGCAGUGGGGAAUAUUGCACAAUGGGGGGAACCCUGAUGCAGCCAUGCCGCGUGAAUGAAGAAGGCCUUCGGGUUGUAAAGUUCUUUCGGUAGCGAGGAAGGUAUCAAAUUUAAUAGAUUUGGUAAUUGACGUUAACUACAGAAGAAGCACCGGCUAACUCCGUGCCAGCAGCCGCGGUAAUACGGAGGGUGCGAGCGUUAAUCGGAAUAACUGGGCGUAAAGGGCACGCAGGCGGUUGAUUAAGUGAGAUGUGAAAGCCCCGGGCUUAACCUGGGAAUUGCAUUUCAUACUGGUCAACUAGAGUACUUUAGGGAGGGGUAGAAUUCCACGUGUAGCGGUGAAAUGCGUAGAGAUGUGGAGGAAUACCGAAGGCGAAGGCAGCCCCUUGGGAAUGUACUGACGCUCAUGUGCGAAAGCGUGGGGAGCAAACAGGAUUAGAUACCCUGGUAGUCCACGCUGUAAACGCUGUCGAUUUGGGGAUUGGACUU